GCCUGGGUGGCUCAGUCGGUUAAGUAUCCGACUUCAGCUCAGGUCAUGAUCUCACAGUUUGUGGGUUCUAGCCCCACAUCAGGCU
Felis catus (domestic cat) is the source of this 85-nucleotide transfer RNA. It matches the Rfam family "tRNA". Rfam says of the family: Transfer RNA (tRNA) molecules are approximately 80 nucleotides in length. Their secondary structure includes four short double-helical elements and three loops (D, anti-codon, and T loops). The record is from Rfam. NCBI's taxonomy places the organism in Eukaryota, Metazoa, Chordata, Mammalia, Carnivora, Felidae.